Molecule: ribosomal RNA, 682 nt
Filed under: uncultured Actinomycetales bacterium
Lineage: Bacteria; Bacillati; Actinomycetota; Actinomycetes; Actinomycetales
Description: bacterial SSU rRNA
Rfam family: Bacterial small subunit ribosomal RNA
Source: RNAcentral
AGUCGAACGGAAAGGCCCUGCUUGCAGGGUACUCGAGUGGCGAACGGGUGAGUAACACGUGGGUGAUCUGCCCUGCACUUCGGGAUAAGCUUGGGAAACUGGGUCUAAUACCGGAUAGGAGCCAUCUUUAGUGUGGUGGUUGGAAAGUUUUUUCGGUGUAGGAUGAGCUCGCGGCCUAUCAGCUUGUUGGUGGGGUAAUGGCCUACCAAGGCGGCGACGGGUAGCCGGCCUGAGAGGGUGUACGGCCACAUUGGGACUGAGAUACGGCCCAGACUCCUACGGGAGGCAGCAGUGGGGAAUAUUGCACAAUGGGCGCAAGCCUGAUGCAGCGACGCCGCGUGGGGGAUAAAGGCCUUCGGGUUGUAAACUCCUUUCGCUAGGGACGAAGCUUUGUGUGACGGUACCUAGAUAAGAAGCACCGGCUAACUACGUGCCAGCAGCCGCGGUAAUACGUAGGGUGCGAGCGUUGUCCGGAAUUACUGGGCGUAAAGGGCUCGUAGGUGGUUUGUCGCGUCGUCUGUGAAAUUCUGGGGCUUAACUCCGGGCGUGCAGGCGAUACGGGCAUAACUUGAGUGCUGUAGGGGUAACUGGAAUUCCUGGUGUAGCGGUGAAAUGCGCAGAUAUCAGGAGGACACCGAUGGCGAAGGCAGGUUACUGGGCAGUUACUGACGCUGAGGAGCGA